Molecule: microRNA precursor, 90 nt
Filed under: Canis lupus familiaris (dog)
Lineage: Eukaryota; Metazoa; Chordata; Mammalia; Carnivora; Canidae
Also listed under: 1 other name
Description: mir-8799 microRNA precursor family
Rfam family: mir-8799 microRNA precursor family
Source: Rfam by way of RNAcentral
GGGGGGAGCUCCGGAUCUUGGGCUGUGUCCCCGGCGCUGAGCUCCCGGGCCUGCGCUGUUGGAUUCACGCUCCCGGCUGUGCAGCCCCCU